GCCUGCCCAGUGACUCUUUAAACGGCCGCGGUAUCCUAACCGUGCAAAGGUAGCAUAAUCACUUGUCCCUUAAAUCGGGACUGGAAUGAACGGCUAAAUGAGGACUAAACUGUCUCUUACAGGCUAGCCAAUGAAAUUGAUUUUCCAGUACAAAAGCUGGAAUAUAACCACAAGACGAGAAGACCCUGUGGAGCUUAUAAACCAAAUUCACCAAACAUGUUUUAUCGGUUUUCAGUUGGGGCGACUUCGGAGUACAAAAUAACCUCCAAACAUAAAACUAAUUAAGAACAACACAUCAAAAUAUAUUUUAAUGACCCAGCAACCCUUAUGGUUGUCUGAUUAAUGAACCAAGUUACCCCAGGGAAUAACAGCGCCAUCCCCUUCUAGAGUCCCUAUCGACAAGGGGGUUUACGACCUCGAUGUUGGAUCAGGACACCCCAAUGGUGCAGCCGCCAUUAACGGUUCGUUUGUUCAACGAUUAAAGUCCAACGUGAU
Molecule: ribosomal RNA, 495 nt
Filed under: Anatololacerta sp. CI-2014a
Lineage: Eukaryota; Metazoa; Chordata; Lepidosauria; Squamata; Lacertidae
Description: partial 16S ribosomal RNA
Rfam family: Bacterial large subunit ribosomal RNA
Source: RNAcentral